GAUGAACGCUAGCGGCAGGCUUAAUACAUGCAAGUCGAGGGGCAGCAGGACUGUAGCAAUACAGUUGCUGGCGACCGGCAAACGGGUGCGGAACACGUACGCAACCUACCCAAAACUGGGGGAUAGCCCGGGGAAACCCGGAUUAAUACCUCGUAACCUUUUUAAGUGGCAUCACUUGAUAAGUAUAGCUCCGGCGGUUUUGGAUGGGCGUGCGCCUGAUUAGGUAGUUGGUGCGGGUAACGGCCCACCAAGCCUGCGAUCAGUAACUGGUGUGAGAGCACGACCAGUCACAUGGGCACUGAGACACGGGCCCGACUCCUACGGGAGGCAGCAGUAAGGAAUAUUGGUCAAUGGACGCAAGUCUGAACCAGCCAUGCCGCGUGAAGGAUGAAGGUCCUCUGGAUUGUAAACUUCUUUUAUGGGGGACGAAACCCGGAUAUUCUUAUCCGAUUGACGGUACCUCAGGAAUAAGCACCGGCUAACUCCGUG
Molecule: ribosomal RNA, 489 nt
Filed under: uncultured bacterium
Lineage: Bacteria
Description: partial 16S ribosomal RNA
Rfam family: Bacterial small subunit ribosomal RNA
Source: RNAcentral